This 497-nucleotide ribosomal RNA is filed under the name uncultured bacterium. Its description in RNAcentral is "partial 16S ribosomal RNA". It matches the Rfam family "Bacterial small subunit ribosomal RNA", at positions 28 to 507 of the family's 1533-position model. The record is from RNAcentral.
GAUGAACGCUGGCGGCGUGCCUAAUACAUGCAAGUCGAGCGAACGGACGAGAAGCUUGCUUCUCUGAUGUUAGCGGCGGACGGGUGAGUAACACGUGGAUAACCUACCUAUAAGACUGGGAUAACUUCGGGAAACCGGAGCUAAUACCGGAUGAUAUUUUGAACCGCAUGGUUCAAAAGUGAAAGACGGUCUUGCUGUCACUUAUAGAUGGAUCCGCGCUGCAUUAGCUAGUUGGUAAGGUAACGGCUUACCAAGGCAACGAUGCAUAGCCGACCUGAGAGGGGGGUCGGCCACACUGGAACUGAGACACGGUCCAGACUCCUACGGGAGGCAGCAGUAGGGAAUCUUCCGCAAUGGGCGAAAGCCUGACGGAGCAACGCCGCGUGAGUGAUGAAGGUCUUCGGAUCGUAAAACUCUGUUAUUAGGGAAGAACAUAUGUGUAAGUAACUGUGCACAUCUUGACGGUACCUAAUCAGAAAGCCACGGCUAACUACGUG